GAUGAACGCUGGCUACAGGCUUAACACAUGCAAGUCGAGGGGAAACGGCAUUGGGUGCUUGCACUCUUUGGACGUCGACCGGCGCACGGGUGAGUAACGCGUAUCCAACCUUCCCGUUACUGCGGGAUAACCUGCCGAAAGGCAGACUAAUACCGCAUGUUCUUCGAUGACGGCAUCAGAUUCGAAGCAAAGACUCGUCGGUAACGGAGGGGGAUGCGUCUGAUUAGCUUGUUGGCGGGGCGACGGCCCACCAAGGCGACGAUCAGUAGGGGUUCUGAGAGGAAGGUCCCCCACAUUGGAACUGAGACACGGUCCAAACUCCUACGGGAGGCAGCAGUGAGGAAUAUUGGUCAAUGGGCGGAAGCCUGAACCAGCCAAGUAGCGUGCAGGAUGACGGCCCUACGGGUUGUAAACUGCUUUUAUGCGGGGAUAAAGUGAGGGACGCGUCCCUUUUUGCAGGUACCGCAUGAAUAAGGACCGGCUAAUUCCGUGCCAGCAGCCGCGGUAAUACGGAAGGGCCGGGCGUUAUCCGGAUUUAUUGGGUUUAAAGGGAGCGUAGGCCGGGGAUUAAGUGUGUUGUGAAAUGUAGGCGCCCAACGUCUGACUUGCAGCGCAUACUGGUUCCCUUGGAGUACGCGCAACGCCGGCGGAAUUCGUCGUGUAGCGGUGAAAUGCUUAGGAUAUGACGGAAGGAACCCCGGAUUGCGAAGGCAGCCGGCGGGAGCGCAACUGACGCUGAAGCUCGGAAGGUGCGGGUAUCGAACAGGAUUAGGAUACCCUGGUAGUCCGCACGGUAAACGGAUGGAUGCCCGCUGUCGGCGCCUUGCGCCGGCGGCCAAGCGAAAGCGUUAAGCAUCCCACCUGGGGAGUACGCCGGCAACGGUGAAACUCGGAAGGAAUUGACGGGGGCCCGCACAAGCGGAGGAACAUGUGGUUUAAUUCGAUGAUACGCGAAGG
Molecule: ribosomal RNA, 957 nt
Filed under: Prevotella denticola
Lineage: Bacteria; Pseudomonadati; Bacteroidota; Bacteroidia; Bacteroidales; Prevotellaceae
Description: bacterial SSU rRNA
Rfam family: Bacterial small subunit ribosomal RNA
Source: RNAcentral